UACGGGGGGAGCAAGCGUUGUUCGGAUUUACUGGGCGUAAAGGGUGCGUAGGCGGGUUGGUAAGUCAGUGGUGAAAUCCCCGAGCUUAACUUGGGAACUGCCAUUGAUACUAUUAAUCUUGAAUACGGUGGAGGUCGACGGAAUAUGUCAUGUAGCGGUGAAAUGCUUAGAUAUGACAUAGAACACCAAUUGCGAAGGCAGUUGACUACGCCAGUAUUGACGCUGAGGCACGAAAGCGUGGGGAUCAAACAGG
Molecule: ribosomal RNA, 253 nt
Filed under: uncultured prokaryote
Description: partial 16S ribosomal RNA
Rfam family: Bacterial small subunit ribosomal RNA
Source: RNAcentral